RNAcentral lists this long non-coding RNA (317 nucleotides) under Numida meleagris (helmeted guineafowl). RNAcentral's name for it is "lncRNA (ENSNMEG00000001148.1)". Lineage: Eukaryota; Metazoa; Chordata; Aves; Galliformes; Numididae. The record is from RNAcentral.
GUUUCCUUGUAGGCUGCCCCAAAGCAGUGGGAUUUUCAGCCGGGUCCGGGCUGGGCGCCUGCAGGUGUUGCCUGGGGUUGGAUGUGGGAUUUCAGCCAGCGGUGGGAUGGGGGCUCGGGGAUGUGGGGCUCCCUGUGUGGGUCCUAAGGAUCCAGGUUCCCUGUGUGGGGCUCAGAUCUGUGGGGUCCCUGUGGGGCUCAGAUCUGUGGGGCUCAGAUCCAUGGGGUCCCUGUGGGGCUCAGAUCCGUGGGGUCCCUGUGUGGGGCUCGGAUCCGUGGGGCUCAGAUCCAUGGGGUCCCCGUGGGGCUCAGAUCCGU